GUAAAAAGUAUCUUGUUCUAGCAUUAUGAAUCUGGUUGAAGUUCAUGCUCAUUUAUUCUGUAUGUUUAUUUAUUUAUUCAUCUCUUUGUAGUUUUAGGACGUAUGGUUCAUUGAGCUCCCACAUGCUAUACCUAUAUAUCCACCAUUUUGAUAUAUGAUGAAUAUAAAAAAAAUACUUUUCUUCUGUCAAGACAAUGUCGCCUUCGUUGGAUGGGUCAAUGAAGACUAGGAAAACACUAUUUUCUGAAUUUUAUACCACACUUGCCCUUCUGAAGCUUCCGGCUGACUGUCAAAGUCAUCGAGUCAACAAAGUCUUAAGUCUUUCACAAGUGCCUUCUGAAGCUUUGAGCGAACCAUUCAAAGUCAUUGAGUCAGCAAAUUCCCAAGUCUUUCUAGCUUAGAGCACCAUCUAUCUGGUAAGAGGCUGGGAGGGCUUUCUGUUUGUUUGCGUUUCACAAUGGAAGCAAUCAUUUCUGAAAUUUAUACCACACUUGCCCUUCUGAAGCUUCUGGCUGACUGUCAAAGUCAUCGAGUCAACAAAGUCUUAAGUCUUUCGAGCUCAGAGCACCAUCUAUAUAGUGACGUGCUGGGAGGAGUUCCUGUUCAUUCGCGCUUCACAAUGGAGACAAUCAUCUCUGUGGUUCUUGGUGAUCUUGUUGGCAGAGCUAUAUCCUUCGUGGUCGAGAAGCGCCGCGAGAAGACAACCGCUGAGGAGGAUCUGCAGAGGCUGCGCCAGCUGCUUCUGAGGAUAAGUGCUGUUGUCGAGGAGGCUGAGGGGUGAUGUGUCACAAACCGGGGGAUGAUACAUCAAGCUAGCACGAUGCGAGAGCAAAUGUUCAGAGGGUACUACCUUCUCGAUGCCUUCAGGUGCAGAGAGAAGAAGACCGAUGACGAGGAGGUGAGUCACUUCUUGUUUGCUCAAUCCAAUUUCAAUCCGGCCAAGCGUUUUCGCCGCCUUUCUAGCAACACUCAGAUUGAGAGCACGGUAACUGUUAGAGUAAGCAGUCAGGAGCUUAGACAGGUUGUUCUUGGCCUAGAAAGCAUGCUUGUUGAUAUGAAGGAGUUUGCUAUAUUUCUGAUGAGCUACCCUCGCAUGUACCGCCAACCCUAUGGUGCAUAUUUAUUUGUGGACAAGUAUAUGUUUGGCCGCCAAAUGGAGAGGGAACAAGCCAUCCACUUCUUGCUACAAGCAGAGCUUCCGUAGGGAAAUGUGGGUGUCCUUCCAGUUGUUGGUUCUGCAUAUGUUGGGAAGAGCACUCUUGUGGAACAUGUUUGCAACGAUGAGCGUGUACAAAACCACUUCUCCUUGAUCUUGCUCUACAUUGGAAACAACCUUCAAGAUGAAACGAUGACAACUUUUAGAGAUCAUUGCGUGAUCAAGCAUCAAAAUAUUUCCUUGGAUGAAGAGAAGUCGUUGGUAGUCAUUGAGCUCUUAGGGGACGUGGACAAAGGAGUAUGGAAGAGACUGCUGCACUCUUCUGAACGAUGCAUGCCACAUGGGAGUAAGAUCAUAAUCACAAGCCGAUCAGAGAAAGUGGCCAGUCUUGGAACAACGGAAGCCGUCAGGCUAAACUAUUUGUCUAAAGAAGCUUACUGGUAUUUCUUCAGGAUGCUCGUGUUUGGUAGCACGGAUCCGGAGGAGCACCCGAAGUUAACAUCCAUAGCCAUGGAGAUAGCCGUAGAGAUGUGUGGAUCUUUCUUAUACGCAUAUGUUGCUGCUGCCUUACUGAGAGAAAAUCUUAGUGCUCGGUUCUGGUACAGGGUUCUCAGACACCUUAGGGAGUACAAGCAGAAGAAUAUCUUGUUGUUAGGUGAAUAUCCUGCUGAGGAAGAUCAGCCUCGGUAUAUUUUGAGCUUGGCUAAAAGGCGGCAUGGUUCUGAGGAUACUAAGUUCCUUUUGCAAAGUAGUCACUGCCACAAUGGUCCUGCUUCUCAUGGUGGGCUUCCGAAGAUAACAAUGGUGGAUCUGCUAUCCGGCACCUGGAGCGCUAUGCCAAGGGGAAAAUUUGAGGUCUUGUCCUGGAGGUCUGUCAUACCACCGUACUACAGCUACACAACUGCUUGCGAGUUUGUCCGGCACAGCAGUAGUACCACAGCAUAGAUGAAGAAGAGAAGCGCUCUUUGGCACCGUGGUGACAUUGCUUUGAUUUACUGGUGGUUCUCUUCUUGUCUAUGGACCAUGGCUCACCUGAUUGGUUGAUGAGACUUCCUUGCUUUGCUGGUGUAAAAGUUGAUGAUAUUUAUUUAAGUUGAUCUGGUUCUUGACUCGAUCUUGUAUGGAGUAUACUGUGACUGGUAUCCGGUACAUAUGGCUCCCUAAUUACCGGUUGUGUUUGUAAUCACUUUUGCCAUCUUCAUCUGAAUAAAUAAGCCCUUGGCUAA
This is an RNA transcript of Triticum aestivum (bread wheat), 2382 nucleotides long. It is a transcript of the gene named disease resistance protein RGA2-like, with no coding region annotated. The record is from RefSeq and is a predicted model, not a curated record. Lineage: Eukaryota; Viridiplantae; Streptophyta; Magnoliopsida; Poales; Poaceae. The transcript has a single exon.